CCAGUGCCCCCAGAAAUAUUGCUCUCCUCCUCAUCUUUAUAAUGCCAAAUGCUCUCUCUCCACCACAGAGCGUGUUCUGGAGUGGUCCUGGUUGUAACAGGCCUCAAUCACAUUCCUCAUGGGUCCCCUGUAGGAUGUCAGCAGGGUGAUGGGAUGUGCAAUGCAGAGAUGCCCACCAUCACCCAAAAGGAUCCUUCAGGGGCUUUAUUCCCAUGUGGCAGCCAUCGAUGCUCCCCACGACCUUUUGGAAGGUGGAAGACCAAGCGAGCUGCUAAAAAACCAGAGGUGACUAAUGGCAGUUCAUUCCCACUGGGAAGCUGGAUGACCCUGCUCAUCAGCUGGAGGAUGCGGUCUGCCGCCCUGUGGACAAUGUCACUCACAGUGGACCGUGGCAUGUCAAAGGCCCUGGCUACCACACCGUAAGAUGUGCCA
Oryzias latipes (Japanese medaka) is the source of this 432-nucleotide non-coding RNA. NCBI's taxonomy places the organism in Eukaryota, Metazoa, Chordata, Actinopteri, Beloniformes, Adrianichthyidae. The record is from RefSeq and is a predicted model, not a curated record.